Molecule: ribosomal RNA, 476 nt
Filed under: uncultured bacterium
Lineage: Bacteria
Description: SSU rRNA
Rfam family: Bacterial small subunit ribosomal RNA
Source: RNAcentral
AGAACGAACGCUGGCGGCACGCCUAACACAUGCAAGUCGAGCGGUAAGGCCCUUUCGGGGGUACACGAGCGGCGAACGGGUGAGUAACACGUGGGUGACCUGCCCUUAGCUCUGGGAUAAGCCUGGGAAACUGGGUCUAAUACCGGAUAUGACCUCGCGAUGCAUGUCGUGGGGUGGAAAGCCUUGUGCGGCUAGGGAUGGGCCCGCGGCCUAUCAGCUUGUUGGUGGGGUGAUGGCCUACCAAGGCGACGACGGGUAGCCGGCCUGAGAGGGCGACCGGCCACACUGGGACUGAGACACGGCCCAGACUCCUACGGGAGGCAGCAGUGGGGAAUCUUGCGCAAUGGGCGAAAGCCUGACGCAGCGACGCCGCGUGAGGGAUGACGGCCUUCGGGUUGUAAACCUCUUUCAGCCCUGACGAAGCGAAAGUGACGGUAGGGCAGAAGAGCACCGGCCAACUACGCGCCAGCAGCCGC